This 253-nucleotide ribosomal RNA is filed under the name uncultured bacterium. RNAcentral describes it as "partial 16S ribosomal RNA". It matches the Rfam family "Bacterial small subunit ribosomal RNA", at positions 524 to 776 of the family's 1533-position model. The record is from RNAcentral.
UACAGAGGUCUCAAGCGUUGUUCGGAGUUACUGGGCGUAAAGGGUGUGUAGGCGGUUCUUUAAGUUUGGUGUGAAAUCUCCCGGCUCAACUGGGAGGGUGCGCCGAAUACUGAGGGACUAGAGUACGGGAGAGGAAAGUGGAAUUCCUGGUGUAGCGGUGAAAUGCGUAGAUAUCAGGAGGAACACCGGUGGUGUAGACGGCUUUCUGGACCGACACUGACGCUGAAACACGAAAGCGUGGGUAGCAAACAGG